RNAcentral lists this long non-coding RNA (266 nucleotides) under Fragaria vesca (wild strawberry). RNAcentral describes it as "long non-coding RNA (FVES_LNC001248)". The record is from RNAcentral. Lineage: Eukaryota; Viridiplantae; Streptophyta; Magnoliopsida; Rosales; Rosaceae.
AAGAAACAAGGGAUCCCAUUAACAAAAUAAUUAAGUGCACCAGAUCCAAAUGUGGCAAAGUGUAUAUCGACAUGUCUCAAAGAGACUCUACAAGAGGCAGUGUAAGAGGAGAUGUCAGAAGGAGCAUUCUUAAGAAAAAUGCCGAGAGAGAGAGAGAGAGAGAGAGAGAGAGAGAGAGAGAGAGAGAUGAGACCCUUGAGUGUUGAUGAUGGGGUAGAAGAGAGUUGAGCUCGGAGUAUAGGGCUUUCAUCUGAUUCCUCCUGUUC